AAAUCUCAACCUUCUCGGUUUCUUCUGGACACCGAAGGAGGCUUGGACUUUGGAGGCCUUUGCUGGUGUCUCUCUCUUUUGAAGGCCAGCUCCUCUUAAAUGAAUUAGCGGGGUCCUCUUUGCCAGUCCUCGACGUGUGAUAAGAUGUUUCCAUGUCUUGGCUUCUGGCUCUGUUGCUUUUGGGACCCGCUUCUAACCGUCUCAACCUUUCAUUGAGACAAUGUUUGAGCAUGUCUCCCUUCUUGGGAAACACUCUCAACCCCACGAAC
This 269-nucleotide unclassified non-coding RNA is filed under the name uncultured Lactarius. RNAcentral's name for it is "sequence contains ITS2". Lineage: Eukaryota; Fungi; Basidiomycota; Agaricomycetes; Russulales; Russulaceae. The record is from RNAcentral.